AUGUUGUCUUGCAUUUAUUCUACUUUGUUGCACCGCCAUCUUCUUAGUUUACUCAUCAUAUAUGUCGAGAUGCCAUGCCCAUACAUUAUCAAUACAUAUUCCAUCUGUCAUCAUACCAUGUUUUUCCACUCAAAUGUUGUUCUGGUGCAUCAGACAUCAAAAAGGAAGAGGGUGAUUGCCGAACCUGAAGGAGCACCAGCAAAGCCCUUGAAAAACGUGGUGGUGCCGGAGAAAUCAGACAGCACCCCACUUAUAUUGGCUGUACAACCACUGACACAAAACGUAGGACCGACUCCAGCAGACUGUACCCAUACUUCACUGGCCACACCACUAGCCCCACCACACAGGACCUGCACUCCAGCAAAAGGUAUACCGAUUUCAUUUUCCAUAGCACCAGCUGUACCAUAG
Molecule: ribosomal RNA, 408 nt
Filed under: Triticum aestivum (bread wheat)
Lineage: Eukaryota; Viridiplantae; Streptophyta; Magnoliopsida; Poales; Poaceae
Description: partial small subunit ribosomal RNA
Source: RNAcentral